GGUUUUCCUUUUUUCCCAUCUUGGUUGGAGCACUGUGAUAAAUGUCAAAUUUAUCUACUUUAAAUUCACUAUUGUUCUAUGGCAAUUGGCUUGGCUCCUUUACAGAGGCUCGAUGUAUGCAGCGACCCCAGGUGCACGAGAUGGAAGGUGGCGGUUUGUUGGUCAACGUCGGGCAUGGCUCUGUGAUGUGGCUGGUCAGUGGCUAUUGAGGUUUCUCGAGUACGAGGUCACGGGACAUGGGGUAAAGGAAUGUUCUUGAUUGUUUUGGUUAUUGAUUGUAUUGUUUUGUUCAGGUUUUUAUUUGCUUUUCAAGAAUUUGGUAUGUUUAGUUUUUAACAAUAAUGGUGUUUAUCAUUCUUCUUGCCACUGCUUUUUUGAUGGGGUUUGUGGAUGGCAUGACGGUACUUCACAAUGCUGGUUUAGUGAAGCCACAUAGUGUGGCUAUCUUGAACAGUGCUUGGGUGGAUCAUCUUCAGAUAUGGCUUUGGAUGUUGUCUGGGUGGAUAUUAAUUUCUUGGUCGACUAGCGUGUAGCGUCGGUAUUCAUGGAGUUUAUCUGUUAUAUAGUUUUUACAACUUUUAUUGUAAUAAUGAUGGUGUUAUUACCCUAAAUCAUUUGAAAGAUUACUAGCUUUUAGCAUUAUUGGGUUGGUAUGUCAAUUGUCCUUUUUUGAAGGAAAACUUAGAUUACUCCUCACAAUUUAGAAGCUUGUUUGCUUGA
Humulus lupulus (European hop) is the source of this 720-nucleotide long non-coding RNA. RefSeq lists it as uncharacterized. Lineage: Eukaryota; Viridiplantae; Streptophyta; Magnoliopsida; Rosales; Cannabaceae. The record is from RefSeq and is a predicted model, not a curated record. The transcript has 2 exons.